ACUUUUUGGCCAACCCAAUAUUUCGGUAAUGCAGCAGAGCUCGCCGAAAUAUAAUGCCUGUUGAAUCUUGGUGCACUCUCGCAAUGUCCCGCGGUGCGCAUACGUGUCGCAGUCGCAGCAUUCCCGCGUGCACGCGUGCCGAAUAAAGAACACACCCGCAAUUUUGCAUGUACCGCACGCAUCUCUACGGGGUGUACCGAAAAAUAUUAUAUAUUGAAAUAUCAAGAAAUUAUCUUAGGUGAGAUUUGUAGUUGGGAUUUGAAUUCUUGCCUCACUUUUUAGUCUGAAAGCGAGCCAACGUAUUUGUUGAUUAGGAGUUGAUUAGAAUUAGGAUUGAUUUGCAUUUUACAAUAAUAUGUAUUCAACUCAAACUCGAAAUUAAUCAUUUGUCUUAAACAAUCGGUAUGUCACUCGUUAUUAAUGAGAGAAAUCGAUAUUAAUCGACAUUUCAGGAAUUGAGACAUCAUUUUGUGAAAACUAAAACUAUUAAGAAUUUUAGUCGCAUUCCUCAUUUUCAGUUUUUCUCAGAAUUAAACAAAUAUUUCUUUCCCGGCCAUUAAGCCAUAUGAAUUGAUUUCGGAAUUCAAAUUGAGUCAGAGUCACGCGCUCAUGAAUAAUUAAAAUAUUUUUUAACUUUGGUUUUAUAUCGCUCGAGGAAAACACUUAUUUGUGCAAAAGAAAAUAAGAAUUCGUGAGUGAAUAAUAGUUUCUGGACACCAUGUAUGCAAUCUGCACAUUCAGUUCGCAACGUGCCAAUAUGCAACACGAGUAUUCGCGCGCGACGCGCCUUGCCUCCACGCGAAAGUCGCGAAAGGGAAUCACGGAGAAUAACGAUUACGCACAUCGUCGAACGACUAGAAAAGCGUACUUAGUCUUCUUACGAACACAUUCCGCGAUAAAGCAAAUCAAAAUUUCGAUGUAUCUGUGCAGUGUCCUCUACACAAUUUUAAAUACGGUGAAAGUAAGUAGAUUGAAAGAGACUUCGUUUGCCUUGUUGCCAACUUCAUUCGCAACUGAUUCUGAACAGACAAGCGCUUGCGAACGCAAGACCCGCAACUCCAGCUUGGUCGAUUCGCCUUGCCGCUGGCAUCGCGCGAAGCAGCCGUAAAAUUCGCAUAAAGGCAUGCUCCGACCGGUAGAUCGCCAAUGAUAAACCGCCAUGUUGCGCGAAAACGCACGAGCGCGUCGGAUUGUGCGCAGUAAUUCAUCACGUAUAAACGUCAAGUUCGCGCGAGUGGUUCCGCGCGCCCGCGACCAUUUAGACCGAACGCAAGAGCGAGGCGCCGACGUAGCCGCGGUGGCAAGCCUAUUCGGAGGAACGUGCACGAGGCAUACUUGUGAGAAUGCGCCGGUUUCCCGGCGGUGGCGGCCAUCUUGUAUUAGCGUGAUGUCACGGCGUGGCCUACUUCCGAACAGCUCCACGUGCGGGGGUCGUCGACCCGGGGCUCUCUUCUAGUCCCCUUUUGCCUAGCUCUAUCUCGGCCUGUUCCCCUCACCAAACUUUCGAACCGAACGUGUGCGCCUUAAAACGAUCGCCAAUAUAUGAGAAAGCGUUUCCACAUGCCACCGUCACUUUCAAAUGUGGUAACGACGUCCGCUCCUACGCACCUGCGAGUGUCCAAUAAGAGCGUCUUACGUAAUCGAGGAAUCGACCGUUGGAAGCAUAGACGAGCUGAAUUGUGCUACGCGUGAGUAUUUAAGCCAGAGACCAUCUAUGUAGAAACCAGAGAUCACCUAUAUAUAUAUAGGUCUAUAUAGGUUUCUAUAGAAACCGAUUUAUAUAUUAUUUGGGAGCAAUAAAUUAACCGCAUACGAGAUGCGAGCAACGCGAUCAACUAAAUUCCCAAUUAGUCAGCGAAAGUCACGACAUUCAAGGCUGAAAGUAUCGUAUGCACGUUAUACAUGAGCGCGUGCCAAAAAGAAUCGCUCAGCAGAUUAAUUUUAGUCUGGAGUUAUGAAUUCUUUUCAUUCGCGAGCUACUUUUGUAUCGUUAUAUUACAUGUAUAAAAUACACACAAUCCAUAAAACAUAUCGCGAACGAUUAUUCCGGCGAGCGCUACUUAUAAAUUAUUAUCUCUGAAAAUAUUUUAAAAAUAAAAAGAGAGAUACUUAUUUGAGAACAUUUCCAUAAUAAUUUAUCAUCUAUAUCUGUGCGAAAUCGUCUACUGGCGUCUCGCGAACGGAACAUUCUGGAUCUCACAAUAUAAACGAGAAUAUAAUCUUGGCGAUUAAGAUCAAAGGGCGAAUCGAGUGAAGUAAGAUCGAAAGUCAUGCAUCAGUCGGGUCAUCGACCCGUUUCAGGGUUUCUUCCGUUUGCUCGACGGUAAAAGUGGACGAAUAAGACGCAUGUGUGCAGUUGUCUGUCGUCAACUUGGAAAAUCGAGCUAAAUACAACGCACUGCGUGCGUAAGUUAAUGAUACAUUGCGGGUAGACAAUGCGAACGAACAGAAAGAACAAAUUGGAUUAUCAAACAACAGUCCGUGAAACGGAUUUACGAAAAAAUGCGUUACGUCAUAUCCGUGACGCAUAAUAGCUCUUCCUGCCGCACGACAAUUCGUUCUCACCACUUCCGCCGACGAACUAAGCUAAUGGAGAAACAGUUAAUGUCGGCGCUCGUGGAAGAAAUCCAAUUCCAGUCGAAUUUCCAGCGCACUUACUUCGAUCCAGGUCACACUUCGUAAACUAUCUGGCAUGCGCAGUUUCAGGUCAUUGGGUCAAGCUUUCCUCGUCGACCCGACCCUGCUUGAAGAUUCACUUCUCUCAGCUAUACUUCUUUCGACCUAUAUGGUCUGCUUUUCUUUCUUUCAACAUCUUCAAACGUCUAUAAAUAGAACUCCGUACGCUUGUUUUCCUCUCGCAUCAGUACGCUGAUACUUUUGCAUUUCUGUUACAUUUCUUUUCUUAUCUUGACGAUAAUAGCGAUGUAAAAUCUGAGCAGAAAAAGAAACUCUAAUUAUAAUUAAUAUCAUAGGGCUACGUUACGUUGACGCAAUUGACUUUUAAAUCACGGCUGGAAAGUGAAAACCACAAUGUUUGUUGCUCCUUACGAAAUAAUAGUAAUUAUGAAAUAUAUAUGCGUGAAUGCGCGAGCAUGCGCACAGUCAAGCGUCCCUUCCACGAAUUUACGCUACUUCUUUCGAAAUAUUCGAUAUUCCUCCACCGCUAUGGUUAUUUGUUUUACGUUUUGGAUACAAGUUAGAAGGCUGUCUUGAUUUCAUCACUAGCGGGACAAAUUGAGACAACGCUCGCGCAAAUCGAACGACGCCGAUACAAAGUACAUUUACCAAAGUUUGCUUAAAAACGUCCAUAUGUUGUCAUAAAGCACGUAUUAAUAUAAUAAUUAUACACUCAUUGUCAGUGAAGUCGUGGAGUCCAUAGAAACUGCGAAUGAAAAAAAUAUGUGCAUUUCGAUUUUUCUAAAAUUUUAAAAGGAAAGACAUUAUGCAUUGUAAUUCCAUUUUCAUCUACAUACACGUAUGUAUGUAUAUAAUGGCAGGAUAUUUGCGAGAGAGGCAUGUCUUAUUCAUGUCAUACGUAUCUUUGGAUCGUUCAAUUCAGCCAGGCAUUACGAUUCUCCUGAAACCCUCUCUCUCUCCUCUCCACCGCGUUUCUUCCAUCGCAGACUGUGAACAUCCGAGUUGCUUGCGAACAUUAAGACAAUAGCAAACGCGGUUAACGACAAGCGCCAGACAAAAAGAUAAGAGCAACCGCUUUAAAACAAGUCGCUUGAUAAGAGAGGGAGAUGACACGGGUGAGGGGUGAGGUGAGGGGUGUGGAUCUGUGGAUCGUGGGUGAAGAAGGGUGAUGGGGGGGAAAGGUGAAACCAGGGCGCAAGUAUUGAUCCCGCGCUGGGGCGGUUGACACAUUUACUAAAAGAUACGCGUGAUCUAGUUUUGGCAGAAGAUAGCGCAAGCUAGAGCACAAAGGAAGCAUCUAGACAUCAACGUAACUGGUCAUUAACCAAGUCAAUAGAUUAAUAAACCUUUUCUGGAACGGUAGUGUAGCUAUAAGUGAAUUUGAGUAUAAAUCUGUUUCUGAAAACAAUCUCCAAAAUCAUCUUUACUGAUUUCUGUUAGAUGUAGCAAAACUAGUGAUCAAGCAAUUCAGACAGAAUGGAUGCCUAAUUAAUAAUCUUAGAGGUACCCAACUUCAGCGUACAGCUCCAAUCAUCAUUUUAGAACAUAUUGAGAGAUAUGUGGAAUUCAUACGUUUCUUUUAGAGAAAGGAGCAUAAUUGAAUUGUGUGUGUGAUGUCACUUCAGUACGGAAGUCUCUAUUAUUCCACUGGGAAAUGCGAAAUAUGGGUUUCUCAUCUAUAUAGCGGAUAAAGCUCCGCUGCUGGUUUCGGGACCACUGCCAAAUGGGUCAGAGCUCGUAUUGAGCUGGUACUGCUGACUUCACUCUCCCUCACUGCUCCUCUCCUCCUACCAUUCCUCCACCGGAGAUCUAGAGCGAUUCUAGAGCACGGCGCCGCCGACAGAGACAAACUAUCGCGCCAUCACUCGCGGUUGCCUUACGUCGUCCUGCGCUGUCAUAUUGCUUCACGAUAUAAUGUAGCGGAUAUAAACGCGUCGUGUAGAUUGAUUAAUUACGCAGUCUCGGGUGUAAUAGUUGUAUCUAGAUAAGCAAGGAAGAGGAGAAAGAGGGAAGGAACAAACAAUAAAUUCUGGAAAGGCAAAAAAUUAAGGUCAGUGGAUAUUAUAGCACGAUAUAAAAUUAAGCUGAAAUCGCAUUCCGAUAUUCCGAUGAUAUUUUAUUAGCGUUUUAUCGGAUCAGACUAAUUAUUGAAUUUAUAAAUAUGCUGCAUGAAAGGGAAAAGUUUUGCAAUUGAAAACCAUUUCACCUGUAAUUCCGUUUAUUCGGCCUUGCUUGCCACACAUGUAACGCCCUUCGAAUUCUUUGUCAUCCGUCUUCUUGCUCUGGUGCAUUGUGUUGUGCCCCGACGCGAUAUAGAGACGCGAGGCUAGAAUACCGUUUGAUCAAUACUCCGCAGGCUCGUCACAGUCAUCGCGUCCUCGUCUUCGCACACAUUGAUGGGAUGAGGGAAAACGAAACGGUAGGAUACGAGCUGUCAAACAUGAGAAACGAUUAAUGACGAUAAUGACAACCUGAGUAACGCUUAUAAUGGUUGGCUUUUCGAUUAAAUGAAAACUGUAGCUUCCGAGAAAUAGAUUGUUCGCUCACCUUGACAGUACGGGUCGAUCAGUCGCGGCGUUAUUUCAGAUUUUUAUUGGUGAAGUUGCUGAUACCCUAGAAAAGCUGCGACUGUUUGGUUCAUCGAAUGUAGCAUGUGGCGUGGGACACGUGCCGAAAGGUCGAUGCCCCUUUUACCAGAUUUUAUUUGAUUCCCUUCGCUCUCAUCAUCCCGCGGGCAUACUCAUUCAUUUCUGCUGAAACUUCUUUGUCGACAUGUAGAAAAAUAAAUGUAUUUAUAUCACAGCAACAUCAUAGAGAAGCUAGCAGGUCUUUAGGGGAACUUCAAAUACAGUAAUGUAGUCCAGCGGACUGUUCGAUAAUGUUUCCCUUGUUGCUAUGUUUAUCAUAACAUUAAUGAUAAUAGUUAUUGUACACGCACUGCAUACAUCGACAUACUAGAAAAUAAUUUAUAUUGUUUGUUCUUCAUAAUUUUAACUUGGAAUAUACGUGUGUGUAUUAAUAUACAAGUUGAUUACUGAAUAUACCGUGGAAAAAAAAUUACUACAUGCCGAUGCUUAAAAAUAAAAUUCUGUAUUCGCAGCUGCAUUCAAUAUGUUUCUCUGUAAUAAAAUAAAAAAGAUAAUUUUUGUUAUGUCCAUAAUAAUUCAGAAUAUAAUUUACUACAUGGGAGAUGCUUAAUUCAAUAUACUUUGGCUGCGCGUACCAAAAUCGUAUAAACAGUUUGCUAUUAAUAGGAACUAGUCAUACCUAUUUAUCUCACAUCAGCAUCAAGUGUAUCUGGCUGAUUACCCAGCAUUGGUCUUGUGAAAAUUUUGAACAUAAUACUUGGAUAUUACAACACUUGAUACUCUAAUCGAUUUUCUGUGACGAUCUUUCAAGGAUAGAUCGGUUCUUAUAAACAAGCAUUAUAAUCUACUUGCUAAAGAAUCGAGGGAUGAAACGAUUGAUGACAUGCUAUCAGAAAUUCAAGAUUAGAUUUACAGAUUGGUCCUUCUCGAGUUACGCACGUAUUUAUAGUUUGAUUAUAUUAAUAAUGAAUUUAUCAUGAGGAGUUAUCAUCUCAUUCGGGGAAGCCGAUGAGUGCACCCCAGGGAUUCUCGUUAUUCGGUUCACUCCUUUGUUACACAACCGGCCCUCUCAGCAACUUGGCCAACUAUCGACCCCACUAGGAGCUUGGCCCCCUCCCUUCAUUUUCUUUCGUCUUCUCACCGUUGCUCCCUCUUCUUUCUUUCUCUUUCUCGUUUUCCCCCGGUCCCACCAUGAUUCCUAAACAUGUCUCUUUUCACUGUUUCUACCGUUCGCCCAUUCUAUAGCCCCGUUUCUUUCUAUUUCUCUCCCUUCUCUUCUGUCACUUUCAAUUCUGACCCCUCCAUUCCUUGCUUCUCUCCUUGUCACGAUCCCGUCGACCUCUCUAUUCUCACCAACAUCGAUUCCACUCUUGCUUUAUCUAUUCAUCACUCUCUCUUUUUCUAUUUACCCCCUCUCCUUACCAUAUUUCUUCCAUCCUUCUCGUAUUACCGCGUACUUUUUAUUUGUCACUAUUCUUUCUUCAUUGGAUCGAUUUUUUCGCCAUUGCUACUUUUCUUUUUCGUUUCUUUCGCACUCUCUAAAUUUCCUCUAUUUCUCUUACGCUUGUAUCUGAGUUCAAGAAAGUGGGGGGCCACGUGCUCCAAGUACCUUAGUCACGCGAGGUAGGACACGUGGUAGGUACGUUGUACGAAGGCACAUAGGCGCGGAAAGACGCGUAUUUUCUAUGCAAAUUGAACGAGAUAUCGAGCAAAAUUAAUUAGGUACACUUGCUUUCAGAAAUAAUUAAUUCGUUCUCUGUAUGAAAAAAUUGUCAAAGAAAAUGAUAAUUAAGAAGAGAGAAUUAUCUUUGUAUGUACUGCAUAAAAUGUUAUACUUAUACAUACUUUAAUCUUAAAACAAGAAUUUGAUCGAUUCGGUCAAACGAUUUGUAGAUAAAAAACCCGUCGAUUUGGAAUGGAUUUGAGAAAUAUCUUGCGUUGCGAAAUCGCGACGACAUUGCGAGUCGGGCAUUCCGAUUACAGCAUUCCGCGAGGAAGAACACGUUGCCGAUAAGGAACGAAAGAAUACGGAGCGAAAGGAAGGGAUAAGGCAGCAGAGAGGAGCGGUGGAGUUGAGCGAGGGUUUAUACGAGUUGUUGCUUACGUAAGCACGCAUGUAGAUAAGAACGUGCUUAUCUGAAGAACGUCGCCAUGCGGGCAACCGCGUGCCAAAGUAUGAAAUCGUAAUGGUUACGAUUUUCGACGAGACAAAAUCCAAUUUGCUGUACGAAUAAUUUUAUGAGUCAUAAUAAUUUGAUAAUUAUAUAAGAUUUGAUAACUUUGAAAAUAAAUUUGACAAAUUGUAAUAAGAUUACGUGAAAUAUUUAAUGACACAAAUUAGUCUCGCAUCCUCAGUAUGUAAUUGGAAAUUGAUAAAUAAAGUCCCGGGUUUAAUAAUUUCAUCGGUAUUUUUAACGGUGGAGCAGAGAGAAUAAGAUACGCACGUAAAUUUGCAAUGAUCCGAAGAUAGGAGAGGAACUGUACAGCACCAAGGAGAGAAAUAUCAAGGAGAAACGGGCAAUUGAGUUGAAUACAGAGAUCGAAUCGCGGGACGUAAUAUACGUGUUGCAUAAUUAGCGGCAUAGCUGGAGAUUUAUCUUCAUUGUGCGCUAUCCUUCGCGCAUCGAAAAACAUCCUGCAGAGAAAAUUACUACCCACCUGCCAUCAGUUCGCCUUUUGAGGUACAUGGCUUCAAAAGUCACUCUUUAGACUUUAAAAAUCACUCUUUUUUUGUUUAUUUUUAUUCCAUUUACCAACUUUCGUUUAUUCAAAUUUAUGCUGAUAUUUCCUCGUUUGAGAUUAAUCCAGCUUUCAUUCUUUUUGUGUAUAUAUUCUAGAAUAAUAUCCGCACGAAUAUUAUUUAUAUGCAGAACAUCUCUCUCAAUUUUAUUCGAUGUUACAUAAAACCAGUAUUAACAAUUACGACGAAAAUAUUUUCGUAAAUUCGUAAAUAGAUUAUACCAAAAAGCAAUCAACUAUUUUAAUUCAGUUCCUGAUCACGAUUCAUAAAAUUCCCACGGUGUUUAUGCGCACCUGUUUGUCUAGGAAGUGAACGCUAUAAAUCGUGAGAUUCAUGGUCGUCGUGGCUGGUUGCAUGGCUCCCCCUUGCUUGAUUAACGGCUAUACAAAGUCCGUAUCGACGUAUCAUAAUACGCCCAAACAAUUUAUUAAUAUGUAGUUAUUAAUUGAUUGCACGUAUGCAAUUUUACUACAUAACAUCUAGUUUUUAAUAUCGAUAAUGACUUCAAGUUAACGUACAUUCUUGUCAGCUCGUUUACCGAAUUAAAAAUAAAAUAAAAACUUCAUGCUAUUAUCAUACGUCAAAAAAUAUGAAAGCUGUUUUUUUAUUCUCUUAAAACUUUCUCUUUUUUGAAUAUUUCACAUGUCACACAUAUAUAGACAUCCCAUUUCUCCCUUUCUCUGCAUCUCUCUUUCUGCGUGUACGAUGUAUUAAGAAAUAGGCCGCGCGCUUACGUUCUCUUCUACACGGUUGUCUGCUACACGAGGUAGGGCGAUCCAAUUGGGGUUCGAAUAGCCCAACGUGGUGGCCUCCCCUUUGAGUUCCUGCUGCGAUCAAUACUAACGCUGUAAUGCCAAAGCCAACCCAGACUACUGACUCCGUACCCAGGUCUUCGUGAUACGAGUGUCCUUGACAACCAUAGUGAAUUGCCCUCGCAAAGUCUUGACUGUAGAAUGCCGCAAAAUUUAAAGGCCGCGUCUAAUCUAUCUUAUAGACCCAAUUAUGGCUAACUUUUCCGCAAUAAUAUCGAGUAACCAAUAGUUCAUGAGCUAUAAAUGCUUGAACACAUGAAGAGCAUGCAUAACUCUCCAUCGUGUCCAUGACGCAUUAUAUCAUACAUAGCCCGGUAUAUCAGUCCGCCUUCUCCCGAGGAAGAGGAAAUAAAACUCUGUUCCCCUCCGAUAACCUUUCUCUUUCCGUCGAUUAUCGUCCACGUGCAUUCGCGCGCGCACGCGCGCGAGAAUUCAUUAUGCGUAAAUUACGCAAAAGAAUUAUAAAAAGCGAAAUUUUAACGAGACUUCAAAAGAAGGAAGACGGAAAGAGGAAAACAAAUACUUCGUGGAUAAAAAUGGAAUCUACGAAAAGAUCCGGCGGCGUUACGAGUCUCGGAAUGGACCUUUCCGUGAAUUUCUUACGAGCGUUCGAUCGAAUCCGUCGAAUACAGAGCGGCUCAAAAGAAGGCGGCAGCUUUCACUGCGCCGAACGUUCUCCCGAGACACCCUGUAUGCGUACGCGCACGCGCAUCCAUCAAGCAACGAGAAGCUCCCGUCUGCGAGCGCGCGCGCACACAAAUGCCCAGAUUCAAGCACGAGCACACACGCACACACAUGACCGCAAAGGCGAACAAAGAAAGAGCCCUAGCGACCAGCAAUGCGGCAACGGCGAGCGCCUGCGCGCCGCUCUAUGUGAGUCAAGGACGACACGUGCGGCUACGAACGACCUACUUAUAUCUCCGUCGCUUCGUGCGCGAUCGCCCCGGCGCACGAACUUUCCCGAGAGCAGAAAUAGGACGGCCGGCGUGCCGAGUGUCCCGACGUUUUACGGAGCGGCCUGACCCUUCCCUUCUCCUCUCCUCCGGGUCUUCCCCGCGCCGCGUCAUGGCGCACUGGUUAAUCGACUGAACGCUAUUGCGACCAGACGACCUCACGUUUAACUCUUUCUACGGUCGCAUCAAUACCGUGCUUAACGUAUCUGGUUAACGACACGCAAUUAAUUAUCAUGCAUCAUGUUUGCAUGUACAAAAGCUUUAUUUGUUCCCCGCAAGUUUUGUGAAAUUUUAUCUCGUGACACACGCAUAUAUUUAAAGCCGCGAAUGUGUGAAUAUAUUUUAAAUUUAUAUACACACACAUAAAUCUCUCAUACAUGCACGUAUAUAAAUUUUGUAAGUUAUCUAAUGACUGUAUGAUGCAAAAAUAAGCGGCAGUUUUCGAUUUAUAUCGCUCACAUUUUAAUCAAACUUGAUCAUCAUUGAUUCGAUGCUCAAUGAUUGUCGAACGUUAUGUAAUGCAACGAUAAUGAAGCAUUCUUUUCUUUUCGCCGCCCCGGUGAAACGCGCAUUGUCGAAACACGACUGAUAACGAAAACCUAAAUUCCGCAUGAUGCAACCCGGACAGCAGAAAAAUCUAAAAAGACAUCGCAAAGCUGUCGAAAGAACGUCUUUACGUCUUUCACGCAUCUUUGCGAUGUCUCUUGGAUUUUUCUGCUGUCUGGCAAUUAAUCCGCAAGUGUCGCAUCGCAGGUAGUGAUAUAGGGUAUCCAAGUUAUUCCGAUACUAUGUAUUUUUAUCACGUACAUUGUAAUUUUAUCAUCCGCAUCUUCAAUGUAGUUAAGUUUUAAGUCUUGAGAAAUAGACUUGGAUAAAGUGUCAUAAAUUUUUAAUAAUUAUUAUUUAUUACGGACGUUACUGACACUGGUGUCAUUUAUUUAUUUACUAAUUGUUGGAAUGGGAUGUUGCUAAGUACAGACAUGAUAGAGCGCGAGGUUAGCACAAGGAUCGUCCAGGGAGUGGCGGAAAUCUCGACGGCCGGGAGGACCGGGACCAUCGAGACGCCCUAGAUGCGGAACCAAGCGAGAUCGAUAGAAAAAUGGGUCAAAGGUUCGGCUGCCGCCUUUACCGUAAAUGGUAGUGUUUCGCGGUAGUUUGACAGCACACACAAAAAGGAAAAAACAAAUAGCUAACACAGCAGUUUCUAACUUCUCCUAUUUUAAUUGUAUAUAGAUAGAAAUAGCGCAAUAGUAAGACAAUGAAUUUUUAUAUCAGAAUACGAAAAAUUGUUACUUUUUAUUAUAUAAUCAUGAAAAAAUGCUGCAAUUAAAUUUGCGCGCAAAAAGACUGACGAACUAAAAUCUUUUCAUGUAAAAUAUUUCAAUUUUGUUGAAUUAUACGCAUAAGAUUAAUAUCAAUUUCAUAUUAUUAUAUACCGAAUGUAGCGUUUAUUCACGAACAUAUGAGAUAAUAGAAAAAUCGAUAGAGACUCCGUUUUCGCAGAAAGUUGCAUAGUGUCUCGCAUUAUUCCCUAAUUUUAAUUGCACCACGUGGAAUCGUCUACGGUGCGGUGUUCACGUAGUCAGGUAUAUACGAAUCUUCCGGUGUCAGCCGCAUCGCGACGUACUGCGGCGAUUGGCUCUUCGGGGCCGCGAUAGUUGGAGCCUAAAGGUGGCCCACGCGGCUCGGCCCCGCCGUUUCUUCCCACCCGGGGCAUAAGUAGCGGGUUCCGCGCGCGCUGCCAGCAGUUCCUGUUCGGCUGUCGUCAUGGAAUCGUGCGCUGGCGAGAGUGAAUCCAUCUUCACGCACGUACGUGACGAUGUACGCGCGCCUACGUAGCCGUCGAUGAUGGAAAGGAUGUUACGUAUACGUGCGCCUGCGUAUAUCAGUGUGCGUGCGUGUGCGUGCGUGGAAAGGAAAGAGAGAGGGAGAGCGGGCGAGCAACGGAGAGAAAGAAAUCAAAGAGAGAGACGGAACGCGGGCAAGCCGUCGGUGCGCACGCGGACCAAUCGCGACUCGAGUAGCAACGGCGCCUGCCAAUCGCAGCGGGCAGCGGCGCUCCGCGGGUGCGCGCCAUCGUCACCACCGGAUGCGACCCAUCGCGCCGAAUAGUGGGGAGGAAACCGAGAGUGCGAUGCGGGCCGCGCGUUCUAGCGCAUCCUCGUUCGCCGCAGCUCGCCCACGGGUUCGGUCGCGUUUCGCGGCGGUCUCGACUCGUAGACGUCCGUCCGGUGCCCGACGUUCUCGGACGGCCGUCGCGUGCCCUCUGCUCUUAUCACCGUUCAUCGACGGAAAGCCAGCGGGACAGUAAAAUCGAAUUUUUCCUUUUGAACGUUCGAGGACUCGCGUUCGAACGUUCAAAGGGAAAGCGCGAGUUCCCUAGAUUUUUCGCUCCGGAAGGAUCCAAGAAGACGAGAGGUCCGACGCAGCUCGUUUAACGAAGUUCGAGUCGAUGCACGCGCCCGAGUGGCUCUUCCAGAGGCUGACUCGUCGUUUCGUUUCCAAUCGCAAGAUAUAGGUCGAGCCUCGGCCCGAUAACAAGAGGACUCGGAUCGGAUGAGUCGGUGUGACGAUAGCGAUUAAAUUUUAUUACGAGGAGAAAUCUGUUGUUACGGAAAAGAUUUAAGUUAUUCC
Molecule: long non-coding RNA, 12364 nt
Organism: Ooceraea biroi (clonal raider ant)
Lineage: Eukaryota; Metazoa; Arthropoda; Insecta; Hymenoptera; Formicidae
Source: RefSeq, a predicted model, not a curated record